Molecule: ribosomal RNA, 496 nt
Filed under: uncultured bacterium
Lineage: Bacteria
Description: partial 16S ribosomal RNA
Rfam family: Bacterial small subunit ribosomal RNA
Source: RNAcentral
GAUGAACGCUGGCGGCGUGCCUAAUACAUGCAAGUCGAGCGAACAGACGAGGAGCUUGCUCCUCUGACGUUAGCGGCGGACGGGUGAGUAACACGUGGAUAACCUACCUAUAAGACUGGGAUAACUUCGGGAAACCGGAGCUAUACCGGAUAAUAUAUUUAACCGCAUGGUUCAAUAGUGAAAGACGGUUUUGCUGUCACCUAUAGAUGGAUCCGCGCCGCAUUAGCUAGUUGGUAAGGUAACGGCUUACCAAGGCAACGAUGCGUAGCCGACCUGAGAGGGUGAUCGGCCACACUGGAACUGAGACACGGUCCAGACUCCUACGGGAGGCAGCAGUAGGGAAUCUUCCGCAAUGGGCGAAAGCCUGACGGAGCAACGCCGCGUGAGUGAUGAAGGUCCUCGGAUCGUAAAACUCUGUUAUCAGGGAAGAACAAAUGUGUAAGUAACUAUGCACGUCUUGACGGUACCUAAUCAGAAAGCCACGGCUAACUACGUG